This is a small nuclear RNA of Tursiops truncatus (common bottlenose dolphin), 104 nucleotides long. Lineage: Eukaryota; Metazoa; Chordata; Mammalia; Artiodactyla; Delphinidae. The record is from Ensembl.
GUGUUCACUUCAGCAGCACACAUACUGAAAUUGGAAUGAUUCAGAGAUUAGCAUGACCCCUGUGCAAGGACGACAUGAAAAUUCAUGAAAUAUUCCUUUUUUUU